RNAcentral lists this ribosomal RNA (301 nucleotides) under uncultured bacterium. Its description in RNAcentral is "partial 16S ribosomal RNA". It matches the Rfam family "Bacterial small subunit ribosomal RNA", at positions 509 to 809 of the family's 1533-position model. The record is from RNAcentral.
CAGCCGCCGCGGUAAAACGGAGGGUGCAAGCGUUAAUCGGAAUUACUGGGCGUAAAGCGUGCGUAGGCGGUUCGUUAAGUCUGUUGUGAAAGCCCCGGGCUCAACCUGGGAAUGGCAAUGGAUACUGGCGAGCUAGAGUGUGUCAGAGGAUGGUGGAAUUCCCGGUGUAGCGGUGAAAUGCGUAGAUAUUGGGAAGAACACCGGUGGCGAAGGCGGCGACCUGGUCCUUGACUGACGCUGAGGCGCGAAAGCGUGGGGAGCAAACAGGAUUAGAGACCCCAGUAUCCCUGUCUCUUAUACA